UGGCAAGCGUUGUCCGGAUUUACUGGGUGUAAAGGGCGUGUAGCCGGGUCGGCAAGUCAGGUGUGUAAUCUAUGAGCUUAACUCAUAAACUGCACUUGAAACUGUUGAUCUUGAGUAUCGGAGAGGCAAUCGGAAUUCCUAGUGUAGCGGUGAAAUGCGUAGAUAUUAGGAGGAACACCAGUGGCGAAGGCGGAUUGCUGGACGACAACUGACGGUGAGGCGCGAAAGCGUGGGGAGCA
RNAcentral lists this ribosomal RNA (239 nucleotides) under uncultured bacterium. RNAcentral's name for it is "partial 16S ribosomal RNA". It matches the Rfam family "Bacterial small subunit ribosomal RNA", at positions 532 to 770 of the family's 1533-position model. The record is from RNAcentral.